CUCGGCGGUGUCCGCACUGGUGUGUGUUGUCGACGUGCAGCCUGUGCUCGUCGCGUUCUCAGGAACAUCAGUGGAGAGCAACUUCAGAUGCGAGGCGGUCCAAAGGAAACCUUGGUACGUGAGAACCUAGGCAGGCACCUGUCGUCUGUCCACUGCCACGAGUGUGAGCAGCCUGACCAUCUUCAAAAGCAGUGACUGGCAGAACCUACAAACAAGCAAAGGUGGAACGCCGUGGCGACGAAUGGCCAAAGAAACCAGCAGAGACGCUGAACCCAAACAGCAAGUGACCUAUGGCCGUUACUGUCCCUGGGAGCAGUGAGGCAGUGACACUGAUCCCAUCGGUGUGCCAUUAUGCUUUUGGGUGGUGGGGCCAUUAUCUCUCUUACAGGAGACUUUGCUUUAAACCCCCAAAAGCGAAAGAGGCGGUGCUCCAGUUUGACGUCCCAGCGAACUUCCGAUUCACAGAAAGAACGCCAA
Molecule: long non-coding RNA, 477 nt
Organism: Ixodes scapularis (black-legged tick)
Lineage: Eukaryota; Metazoa; Arthropoda; Arachnida; Ixodida; Ixodidae
Exons: 3
Source: RefSeq, a predicted model, not a curated record